RNAcentral lists this ribosomal RNA (460 nucleotides) under uncultured bacterium. RNAcentral's name for it is "partial 16S ribosomal RNA". It matches the Rfam family "Bacterial small subunit ribosomal RNA", at positions 338 to 795 of the family's 1533-position model. The record is from RNAcentral.
CCUACGGGAGGCAGCAGUGGGGAAUAUUUGUCAAUGGGCGAGACCCUGAACCAGCCACGUCGCGUGAAGGAUGACAGCCCUCUGGGUUGUAAACUUCUUUUAUAAGGGAGUAAAGUGAGACACUUGUGCCUUUUUGCAUGUACAUUAUGAAUACUGAUCGGCUAGAUCCGUGCCAGCAGCCGCGGUAAUACGGAUGGGGCGAGCGUUAUCCGGAUUUAUUGGGUUUAAAGGGAGCGUAGAUGGGUUGGUAAGUCAGUGGUGAAAGGGGGGGGCUCAACCGGAAGACUGCAAUUGAUACUGUGAGACUGGAGUACAGGAGGGGGAGGCGGAAUUCGUGGUGUAGCGGUGAAAUGCGUAGAUAUCACGAAGAACACCGAUGGCGAAGGCAGCCUACUGGACAGUGACUGACGUUGAGGCUCGAAAGCGUGGGUAGCAAACAGGAUUAGAUACCCGAGUAGUC